RNAcentral lists this ribosomal RNA (801 nucleotides) under uncultured bacterium. RNAcentral describes it as "bacterial SSU rRNA". It matches the Rfam family "Bacterial small subunit ribosomal RNA", at positions 8 to 806 of the family's 1533-position model. The record is from RNAcentral.
AGAGUUUGAUCAUGGCUCAGGAUGAACGCUAGCGGCAGGCCUAACACAUSCAAGUCGAGGGGUAACAGAGUAGCUUGCUACUGCUGACGACCGGCGCACGGGUGCGUAACGCGUAUACAAUCUMCCUUUUGCUGCGGGAUAGCCUUAGGAAACGAAGAUUAAUCCCGCAUAGUAUACAGAGUUCUCAUGAGUUUUGUAUUAAAGGUCACGGCAGAAGAUGAGUAUGCGUCCUAUUAGCUAGAUGGUGUGGUAACGGCACACCAUGGCGACGAUAGGUAGGGGCCCUGAGAGGGGGAUCCCCCACACCGGUACUGAGACACGGACCAGACUCCUACGGGAGGCAGCAGUGAGGAAUAUUGGACAAUGGAGGCAACUCUGAUCCAGCCAUGCCGCGUGCAGGAAGACUGCCCUAUGGGUUGUAAACUGCUUUUAUACGGGAAGAAACACUGCUACGUGUAGCAGCUUGMCGGUACCGUAAGAAUAAGGAUCGGCUAACUCCGUGCCAGCAGCCGCGGUAAUACGGAGGAUCCAAGCGUUAUCCGGAAUCAUUGGGUUUAAAGGGUCCGUAGGUGGAUAAUUAAGUCAGAGGUGAAAGUCUGCAGCUCAACUGUAGAAUUGCCUUUGAUACUGGUUAUCUUGAAUUAUUGUGAAGUAGUUAGAAUAUGUAGUGUAGCGGUGAAAUGCAUAGAUAUUACAUAGAAUACCAAUUGCGAAGGCAGAUUACUAACAAUCAAUUGACACUGAUGGACGAAAGCGUGGGGAGSGAACAGGAUUAGAUACCCUGGUAGUCCACGCCGUAAA